AUUACAGGUACGUGUAGUCACACAAUAGACAUGCCACUGUCAUUUCUGAUUUGGAAUGAGAGAAACAUGUUCAUGCGAUGUGUCUGUGUUAAUAUGAAAGCCACUCGUAGUCCACCCGAGGUGUGCAUUUGUGUAGUCAAAUCAAAUUCCCAAAAAAAGAUGCUAUAUGCAUGACAGGGAAAUUCUAAUAUAUAUAACUGCUGUUAUUUUAAAUGUCAAUUUAAUGUAAAUUGUACAUAAAUGUAUUGAUUGAGUUGUUUAUACUUGACUUCAAACACAAAUGUUAAAUGGGUUUUGUUGUUUUUUCACACAAACACACACAAACAGUGGGGAAACACGAAACAUUCGUUCUGCAAAAACACAACGUUUCGAGCCAUAUA
This is a long non-coding RNA of Hippocampus zosterae (dwarf seahorse), 380 nucleotides long. RefSeq lists it as uncharacterized. The record is from RefSeq and is a predicted model, not a curated record. The transcript has 3 exons. NCBI's taxonomy places the organism in Eukaryota, Metazoa, Chordata, Actinopteri, Syngnathiformes, Syngnathidae.